Molecule: non-coding RNA, 6319 nt
Organism: Sus scrofa (pig)
Lineage: Eukaryota; Metazoa; Chordata; Mammalia; Artiodactyla; Suidae
Source: RefSeq, a predicted model, not a curated record
CCUCAGGGAUACUAGUCAGGUUCUUAACUCACUGAGCCUCAAUGGGAACUCUUUUAAUUACAUUUUUAUCACAAUCAUACAAGAUUAAAUUUUUGAUCUAGUAUCUAGAAACCAACCUAAGAUUUUUCUCCCUCUCUGUCCAUUCUACAAGUGACCAAUAAAUGUUAUUUCUGUGGCAGCUGCCUAAUUAACACUCUCAACCUCAGUCUUACUUAGAUUGAAUAAAAAAAAAAUCUGUCUAGGUGAGAGGGCAGAGGCUGCCAUGAAGACUGUUGUUGAAACUUGGCUUCUGUUCACCAGGGCCAAAUAGAAUUGUGGAGACAGAGUUUUUGGGGAAGUAGAAAAGAAGAGCUUUUUGAUUUGCCAUGCAAAUCAGGAAACACAGUGGGUUAAUGUCUCCAAGAACUGUGUGCCUCCCCGCUCCCCCCCACCCCCUGGACGGGGUAGUGAGGAGCCUUACAGUGCUCAAGAAGCAGAGUGUGGUUAGCUCGUGGACAUUCUUCUGAUUGGUGGAUGGUGAGGUAAUUGGCAGUCAGCAUCAUCAACCUUCUGGUUCCAACUGGUCCGGGGACUACAUACUGGUGGGCAGCAUACUGUUAACUUCUUCCACCUGGUGGGGGCUUCAGUAUCUGCAAAACAUCUGCAAGGACAUGGCUCAGAAUAUUCUCUAUAGUCCUUGAGGAAGAACUAAAGGUCCUAGACUUUUUUGAAUGGCUGCACUACUCUUACUUUGUCUUGCUAGACUGUUUUUUUUUUUUUCUUUCUGCAUUUUCUCACUUCUCCAAUUAAAUUUAUUUUUUGACUAAAGUUUUUCUACACACAAAAGGACAUGGGUGGAGAUCUAUUCUGGGAAGGCCCCAUAGGGUCCUGCUCAGUUACAAGGCCUCUCCUAACUGGGCUAAAGCCCCAAAUAUCACACUCUGGAAUUUCUUUCAUUGAGAAGACAGUUUUUGUACCACGAUGUCAAUGAAUUUACCAGAACAUAUAAGAGCCCAACGGGUCUGAAUGAAUCUGACUUUUAACCAGCACUGCAGGUAAUUAAUGUGAUCAACUUCAACCACAGUUCUUUCUUAAUGACUGCAUAUUAUUUAAAAGCAAACCCCAAGCCUGUUAUUCAUUUAACUUUAGGUUAAGUUAUCUCAAGUGAGUCCAAUUAAGGAAACCUCUUGUGUAUUUCUUUAAGGGAUGGCCAGAAAGAUCCAACAAAGUUCUAAGGCAUUUUUGAGCUCUUUCCCCUGACUUCCUUGUAGCUGAGGUUUUGCUAAAAUAAAAUAAGGAAGACUUGUGCCUUGGGGCAGAGCUAUAGAACUAGAGCAUGACUCUUAGUUUUCAUUUAAGACAAGAAGACCCUUCAGGAAAUCAGUGUUUGCUUGCCCUCAUCAUUAGGUAAGCACACAGCUGGGAGUGGGUGGGCGCACGUUUCUGGAACGUGCCCCACCUCCUCACCCUGCUCUCCUGAGGUGACGUGUGUUUUGAGGGUGCACUUCUCACUCCUAGGAUUCCUGCCUCUCUCCUCAGAGACUUGCAGAAAGCUGCCUCCAGAUGCAAGUUCCAAGCUCUUUGAAUGUAUCAGCUCACUACUUCCUAGCCUCCAAAGUCUGUAAUGAGAAAUCUACUGAUAAUCUUAAGGAGGAUCCCUUGUAUGUGAGUGACUUAAUCCUUUAUAGACUAUGGGCUCAUAGGUCAUGGAUGGGACAUUUGACUCAUUUUUUCUCACUGUGAUAUAGAGGUGGGUGAAAAUAAAACACAAUGUUCCUUGUUGCUCAUGUUUGUUUAGUUCACCUUGAACCUUGCUUAUAAUUAAUUUCAAUCAGCACAAUUAAGAGAGGGAAGGAAAGUGGAAAAAGGCAGAGGUCUCCUGCUUGAAUGCACUAAAAUCUGCAACAAGUUCUUAUGGGAGUGUUAUGUUUCCUAUAGUUGGGGAAAAACUAACUUCAUUUUAUUUUAAAAGUAAAGGCUGAACGAUAGCAGAAAAGCCAAAAAAAGGUCAUGAAAGGUCUCACUGUAGUUUAAACCUGAGUAAGUGAAAUAUGUUUAAGCUAAAUCUUGAAUGUGUCCAGCUUUUUGAGUAUUGAGACAAAUCAAGGAUCCCAGGAAAAUCCAGUAAAAUAGCAUCCAAUUGGAUAUAAAUUGACCCUUUGAUGCCAGUUAAUUUUCAGCCAGUCCCUGAAAGAAAUGUGAAGUUGGUAUAUUUAUAAACAUAAUGAAUAUAUUUAAGUAUACUGAUUUAUAUUAAUAGCCUUAGAAAAAAACAAAGCCCUACUUAUAAAUAAAAAGCCACAUAGGUUGCUGAGAUCUGCUUGGUAUAUAGGUAUUUUCAUGGUGUUCUACUGAAAAUUUAUACUGUUUAUAAUUAAGGGUAAAAAGGCUUCUCUUAAUCUUAAGUGGGCACUAAAUAUAAUCAACUAGUGCUUUAAUAAGGUCAAAAUAAAUUGUAUGGUUAUGUGGAAACCCACUAAAUUGAGGGAAUGGAUUAGAUAAUAGUUGAUUAGAUAGAAAGGAAAGUUAGUAAGGAGUCACAGAAUAAAUUAAAAAAAAUGUAUCCAUCUUUCUGUCAAAUGCAGUAGAGACCAGGUGUUCCCAAGGAGAGGCUUGGCGGGGGGGGGGGGCUUUAUUUUAAUGAGAGAAAAUAAUCUCUAAUUAGUUGCUAAAGUUCUUGAAAACAUUUGUACUUGAAUAAAAUCCCCCCCAGUCUUGGUGAUGGCAUUAUUUUUUGCGACACCUCCCUAUACUUUUUUUCCUUUCUAAUUUCAAAGGAAAUUUCCAGCACAAAUGGUGUCACAGUAGCAUCCUUGGUGGCCACCUUAAUGAAGACUAACUGUACUUUUCUUUGGACCCCUGCUGGAAGCAUUUUAUAAUUUUUACUCCUCUCUCCAUGAAUAAAAUGAAAAAAUAACAACAUGAAACAUACACAACAUUAAAACUAGAGUUCCAAAAAAGGGAGUGUGUGUGUAUAUUUGCUAAGUUUAUAUAUAUAUAUAUAAACUUAGCAAAUUACUAAGCAAUGUGUAUAGUAGAACCCAUUUUUGUAUUCUGAGAAACCCACUUGCUGAGAAUGCAUUAUAUAUGUUCAUAGCAUAUGCAUAUACAUACAUAUUGUUAUAUAUGAAUAAAACAAUCUGAAGCUUAAGAAUAAUGGUUAUUUCUGGGAAGUGGAUCUGAUAGAUUGAACUUUUUAUAUUUUUGAUGGGUGGCAAACAUACGUAUAAACUCUUAUUUUGAAAGGGGAAAAAACUCAAACAUAGAAAUAAAAAUAUAGUUGGACCAUAGAGUAAAAAUUCAGUUAUUUGAAUCAUAUCAAACUUCACAAUAGUUUGAGUUGGUUUAAAUUUAUCUUUGUAAUCACUGAAUUUGCGAAGCAAAUAAUGUAAAGAAGUGCACAGGGACUGGUCAAUUAAACUGCUUCCAAGCAUUUGAAACCACUGUGAUAUUAACGUAUUACAUAGAAAUAAGUAAAUAUACUUAUAAAAUUUUAAAAAGAACCAAAUAAGUGGGAGGGCUUGUUAAUUUGACUCAUUUCUUAGGGACUUAAAUAUAUUCUAUGUAAAAAUAUAAAGAACCUUAUAGCAAAAUGAGUAAGUCCACAUAUGAACUUAAAGAGGAAAAUCAUUAUACUUUGGCUCCAUUUAUUAUACAAAUUGAAGGGCUACAAAGGUAGAUUUGCCGACCCUUGUGGAUGUAGAAUCUUUAACACAGCUACCGCUUCCAUUGACACGUUCUGGCCAGAGCUCCCUCUGGGAAGAGCAGAAUAAGCCCCAGAUGGUUUCCAGCUCUAAGAGUCUCUGUGCCUAGGGCACUAUUUACUAUGGCAAACAGUACAAAUAUGCUGGUUCAGUCCAAGGUUGGAUCACCUCCAUGAAGGUCAAAUUCCCAGCAUUCCAGCCCCAUCUAGUAGCUUCCAGGAAAGAUGGUCGUCUUCUCUGCCACUAGAAAAGUCUGAACAGCCAAGUGCCCAAGUUAGUCUAGAAAAGGUUAUUCCUUUUUAACUUGUUCUGGGAGAGAAGGAAGACAGUAUUGUGGAAAAGCGGGUAGAAGGCAUCUCACUGGAGGCCCAGGGGUUAGGUUCUGGUCCCAGACCUGCCACUGUCCAGCUGCGAGAUUUGGGUAUAUCAGUUGAUCUGCAAUCCUUGGUUUUGCCAUCCAGGAAAAGAAGUCAUUUUAGUCUCAGUGACCCCUCUAGGUCCUAACAUUCUCAUUUUGGUUUUUUUGGACAGAGAUGGAUCCCAGUCAUAUUUACUGUGUAGUGUUGCUCUUUAUUAUUUUUUCUUUCUAGGGCCAUAUCUGCAGCAUAUGGAAGUUCCCAGGCUAGGGGUCAAAUAGGAGCUGCAGCUGCCAGCUUAUGCCACAGCCAUGCUGGAUCUGAGCCUCAUCUAUGACUUCCGUUGCAGUCUGUUGGAAUGUCAGAUCCUUAACCCACUGAGCGAGAGUAGGGAUCAAACCCACAUCUUUGUGGAUACUAAUGGGGUUCUUAACCUGCUGAGCCACAAUAGGAAUUCCUCAAGCUCUUUAUAUAAAGAGAAAAAGCAACAGCAGUGUGAUCUUUUUCAACUGCCCCCCAAAUCUGAAUUAAACAGAAAAAAUAUUAACCAGAAAAAUUUCUACAUGUGUAAUUUACAGAUUUUUUUGUUAUACCUAUGGCUUCCAAUUAUAAUUAUCAUUCUUUGUCACACGUCAAAGACAUUUCUCAAAGCUUAAGUGAUUCCGUUGUUUAUACAAGUGCCCUCCUCCCUCCCACAUAUAAAACCCAUUCUCUGAUGAUUCCACUCAACCUCCUUUAAGUUACGCUGACUUCAAGAAGUGGAGAUUUUGGGAGAACACAGUCCCCUCUAUUUCAUGAAGCCUGUAACAUCAUCGUUUGUUUCAGUCUUUUAAACUUAAGCUUUUAAUUAAAAUGUUACAAUAUAUAAUUAAUUAUAUAUGAAGAUUAACUAUAUAAAUAACUCAUUCUAACAAAGUUACUUAAAAGCUAACUUGCUAAUGCAUGUCUAGAAUUCUAGGAGACCCAAAGAAAUAACCCUCACUGACUUGGAGCAGGACAGGGCAGUUGAUAAUCCCAUUGUUUUAUUGUACUAUUCUCCAGACUACAACUUCUCUACCCUUUCCCACUUUUUUUCUUGUAGGAUUGUUUAUUUUCUUCUGUCAUAGAUAGAAGAGUCAACUUCUACAAUGGGCAGCUGUUAUAAAGAGAUGAGGCGAAUCUGGAUGCAACACGACUAUGUCACUUGUCAAGCAUCAACAGCAAGUGACAAGACAAUAUGGCUGGUGUGCUUUUUCUAGGUGUUUCACUUUAAAAUAUUAUUUCAUGAAGACACUACUUAAGGGACUAACAAAGCCUGAACAGAGCAUGGCUUUAAUAUGUUCAGAAAAAGCAAAUUAGUUAUUUCUUCCCCCUAAUCUCAGGAAUGUGUGGGAGGGGACAGAUUACAAGGACGUGAUAGAUAGGAGGUUGAAUGGUUGCAAAUAUGCUAGAUAUUUGUGUGCCCAUGUGGAAUUUUCAAAGAAGUGAUUCAUACUUUUUUGGGUAGUUACCUCUUGAGCUUAAGGUUGAUUUGUGGGUAAUUUAAGAUUUAGACAGGACUUAUUUUCUUCUCUAAUGUUUCCGGAGUCUGAGAAAAACUACACUAGAGCGGAUUUGGUGGAUUUUCUUCUCUUCUUUCAUCUGGUCUACUGAAAAGUACAAGCAGCAGGAUUAAGAAGUUUGGGACAUCUAAGCCCACUUCUCUGACUCCCUGUUGGGUCUCUUGACACCUUGGAAAUGGGUGAGUUUGAUAAAUGGUUUUAAGUAGGUAUUUCCUUUCCUUUCUUUCUCUUCAGAGUUGCCAACCAAGGAGCCUCAAGUUAUUUGGACCACAUUCAAAGGCCUGGGUAUUGAAAACGGCUUCCUAGUUCUCUGCACUCAAUUAUUCUAACAUCAAGAAAGAGCUCUCUAAAGACAGAGUAAUGAAGACAAGCAGCAGACUGCAGGACCUCCCAUGCAUAAGGUCAGUGCAUCAAAAGGCCUUUGUGGGAGAAAUCAAGAUUUAUUCAAGGUAUUCAACUGUGCUCUAACAGGGUAGAAUUACUUUUUUUUUUUUUUUUACACUUCCAGGAAGAGUUGCUUCCUCUACUUGAAAAUACAGACUGGUUUUCUGUAUGUUAGUAAAGUUAGAAACCUAUUUCAGAAGUUUUUGCUUGCUUUGCAUUAUGUCACAUAAUGUCACAUUAUGUCACAGGCUAUACAGCUCACAAUUCUUAGUCAUUGAUGAAAAAUGAAGUUUUCAUUUUGAAAGUGUUAAGGCUGAGAAGGUGGCGUUUUAAUUCAUUCCAUUUCUUCUUUAUC